Molecule: long non-coding RNA, 119 nt
Organism: Syngnathus acus (greater pipefish)
Lineage: Eukaryota; Metazoa; Chordata; Actinopteri; Syngnathiformes; Syngnathidae
Exons: 3
Source: RefSeq, a predicted model, not a curated record
GAUCGUCACAGUUGAGGGGCCAACUGGGUGACGGCCGCUGGAUCCACGCCGCCUGAACUGGUGGCGGCCGCAGCAUCCGCGCAGUCGGGACUGGGUCGGGGGUCGGCCGUGCGUCUUGC